CCUACGGGAGGCAGCAGUGGGGAAUAUUGGACAAUGGGGGGAACCCUGAUCCAGCGACGCCGCGUGAGUGAAGAAGUAUUUCGGUAUGUAAAGCUCUAUCAGCAGGGAAGAAAGAAAUGACGGUACCUGACUAAGAAGCCCCGGCUAACUACGUGCCAGCAGCCGCGGUAAUACGUAGGGGGCAAGCGUUAUCCGGAUUUACUGGGUGUAAAGGGAGCGUAGACGGCGAUGCAAGUCUGAUGUGAAAACCCGGGGCCCAACCCCCGGAGUGCAUUUGAAACUGCCAUGCUGGAGUGCCGGAGAGGUAAGCGGAAUUCCUAGUGUAGCGGUGAAAUGCGUAGAUAUUAGGAGGAACACCAGUGGCGGAGGCGGCUUACUGGACGGUAACUGACGCUGAGGCUCGAAAGCGUGGGGAGCAAACAGGAUUAGAUACCCCGGUAGUC
RNAcentral lists this ribosomal RNA (443 nucleotides) under uncultured bacterium. RNAcentral's name for it is "partial 16S ribosomal RNA". It matches the Rfam family "Bacterial small subunit ribosomal RNA", at positions 338 to 795 of the family's 1533-position model. The record is from RNAcentral.